UGCAAGUCGAGCGGUAGAGAGAAGCUUGCUUCUCUUGAGAGCGGCGGACGGGUGAGUAAUGCCUAGGAAUCUGCCUGGUAGUGGGGGAUAACGUCCGGAAACGGACGCUAAUACCGCAUACGUCCUACGGGAGAAAGCAGGGGACCUUCGGGCCUUGCGCUAUCAGAUGAGCCUAGGUCGGAUUAGCUAGUUGGUGAGGUAAUGGCUCACCAAGGCGACGAUCCGUAACUGGUCUGAGAGGAUGAUCAGUCACACUGGAACUGAGACACGGUCCAGACUCCUACGGGAGGCAGCAGUGGGGAAUAUUGGACAAUGGGCGAAAGCCUGAUCCAGCCAUGCCGCGUGUGUGAAGAAGGUCUUCGGAUUGUAAAGCACUUUAAGUUGGGAGGAAGGGCAUUAACCUAAUACGUUAGUGUUUUGACGUUACCGACAGAAUAAGCACCGGCUAACUCUGUGCCAGCAGCCGCGGUAAUACAGAGGGUGCAAGCGUUAAUCGGAAUUACUGGGCGUAAAGCGCGCGUAGGUGGUUUGUUAAGUUGGAUGUGAAAGCCCCGGGCUCAACCUGGGAACUGCAUUCAAAACUGACAAGCUAGAGUAUGGUAGAGGGUGGUGGAAUUUCCUGUGUAGCGGUGAAAUGCGUAGAUAUAGGAAGGAACACCAGUGGCGAAGGCGACCUGGACUGAUACUGACACUGAGGUGCGAAAGCGUGGGGAGCAAACAGGAUUAGAUACCCUGGUAGUCCACGCCGUAAACGAUGUCAACUAGCCGUUGGGAGCCUUGAGCUCUUAGUGGCGCAGCUAACGCAUUAAGUUGACCGCCUGGGGAGUACGGCCGCA
RNAcentral lists this ribosomal RNA (836 nucleotides) under Pseudomonas fluorescens. RNAcentral describes it as "bacterial SSU rRNA". It matches the Rfam family "Bacterial small subunit ribosomal RNA", at positions 56 to 890 of the family's 1533-position model. Lineage: Bacteria; Pseudomonadati; Pseudomonadota; Gammaproteobacteria; Pseudomonadales; Pseudomonadaceae. The record is from RNAcentral.